Molecule: ribosomal RNA, 406 nt
Filed under: uncultured bacterium
Lineage: Bacteria
Description: partial 16S ribosomal RNA
Rfam family: Bacterial small subunit ribosomal RNA
Source: RNAcentral
AUUGAACGCUGGCGGCAGGCUUAACACAUGCAAGUCGAGCGAGCGGCGGACGGGUGAGUAAUGUCUGGGAAACUGCCUGAUGGAGGGGGAUAACUACUGGAAACGGUAGCUAAUACCGCAUACCAUCAGAUGUGCCCAGAUGGGAUUAGCUAGGAGGUGGGGUAAUGGCGCACCUAGGCGACGAUCCCUAGCCGGUCGGCGAGGAUGACCAGCAACACUGGAACUGGGACACGGGCCAGACUCCUACGGGAGGCAGCAGUGGGGAAUAUUGGACAAUGGGGGAAAGCCUGAUGCAGCCAUGCCGCGUGGGUGAAGAAGGCCUUCGGGUUGUAAAGCACUUUCAGCGAGGAGGCGGUACUCGCAGAAGAAGCACCGGCUAACUCCGUGCCAGCAGCCGCGGUAAUAC